UACGAAGGGGGCUAGCGUUGCUCGGAAUCACUGGGCGUAAAGCGCACGUAGGCGGACUCUUAAGUCGGUGGUGAAAUCCUGGAGCUCAACUCCAGAACUGCCUUCGAUACUGAGAGUCUCGAGUCCGAGAGAGGUGAGUGGAACUGCGAGUGUAGAGGUGAAAUUCGUAGAUAUUCGCAAGAACACCAGUGGCGAAGGCGGCUCACUGGCGCGGUACUGACGCUGAGGUGCGAAAGCGUGGGGAGCGAACAGG
Molecule: ribosomal RNA, 253 nt
Filed under: uncultured bacterium
Lineage: Bacteria
Description: partial 16S ribosomal RNA
Rfam family: Bacterial small subunit ribosomal RNA
Source: RNAcentral